This 253-nucleotide ribosomal RNA is filed under the name uncultured bacterium. RNAcentral's name for it is "partial 16S ribosomal RNA". It matches the Rfam family "Bacterial small subunit ribosomal RNA", at positions 524 to 776 of the family's 1533-position model. The record is from RNAcentral.
UACGUAGGGGGCAAGCGUUGUCCGGAUUUAUUGGGCGUAAAGAGCGUGUAGGCGGCCAGACAGGUCCGUUGUGAAAACUCGAGGCUCAACCUCGAGAUGUCGAUGGAAACCGUCUGGCUAGAGUCCGGAAGAGGAGUGUGGAAUUCCUGGUGUAGCGGUGAAAUGCGCAGAUAUCAGGAAGAACACCCGUGGCGAAAGCGGCUCUCUGGAACGGUACUGACGCUGAGACGCGAAAGCGUGGGGAGCGAACAGG